CCCGGCUCCUCCCCUCCAGUCCCGAAGGGAGCGAGGUCUCCGCGGAGCGUGCCUGGGUCGUAUUCGCUGCGUAAGGAGGUGGGCAUCUGCCAUUGAUUUCAGUAUUAUGCAAGGAGAGUAAUGGAAUUUAUCAAGGACAGUUAUGAAUCAACGUUGUAUGGAUCAAAAUACAGUAGACCCUCAGAGUUACGAACGCAAAGGUUACAAACUGAUCAGUCAACCACACACCUCAGUUGGAACCAGAAGUAUGCAAUCAGGCACAGAGACAAGAUUUCAGGAGAAAUCCCAAACAGGAGGUUAAAGACUCACCGUGACGAUCAAUGCUAUUAUCUCACCAUUUUUACAAGACUAGGAUAAAUGUACAAAGUAUGCCUUGUGAGGUAUCAUUUGAAAACUCAUCGUGUGCUGAACAUUAUUGUCCUGGUAAAAUAAGUGCAUCAAUAUUGUAUGUGAAGUAAUAAGCUUCUGCUGUAUAGCAUUGUUAUAACAUGCUCCAAGAUUAAGAAAAGCAGGCCCAAACCAAUUUUUCAGAGACAAAGACACACUGACACCCCACUAGGUGUUAAAGGGCUAUCACCUAUUUACACAGCCAUUCUCCAGCAACAGGAAGGUGUGAAUAAGAAAUUUACAUUCCAUCACAGAGACGGGUCAGACCUCACAAGAGACUACUUGUCACCUGCACCGCAGCGGGGGGUAAUCCUCAAAGAGAGCAGGGUGGUAUAGGAAUGAGAGACAGUGGCCUCCAAUUUACCUCUUUUCUCUUAAAUGCACACCUUACAUUUUAAAAUGAGGGUUUGUUUGGUAAAUUUUAGCUAAAUAAGAACAUUUUAGCUAAAUAAGAACAUUGGUUCAGACCAAUGGUCCAUCUAGCCCAAGAGUUCUCAAACUGGGGGUCAGGACCCCUCAGGGGGUC
Non-coding RNA from Chelonoidis abingdonii (Abingdon island giant tortoise), 913 nucleotides. NCBI's taxonomy places the organism in Eukaryota, Metazoa, Chordata, Testudines, Testudinidae. The record is from RefSeq and is a predicted model, not a curated record.